AGUGAACGCUGGCGGUAUGCCUAACACAUGCAAGUCGAACGGCCGCACAGUAAGAGCUUGCUCUUACGGGUGGCGAGUGGCGGACGGGUGAGGAAUACAUCGGAAUCUACUUUUUCAUGGGGGAUAACGUAGGGAAACUUACGCUAAUACCGCAUACGACCUACGGGUGAAAGCAGGGGAUCUUCGGACCUUGCGCGAUUGAAUGAGCCGAUGUCGGAUUAGCUAGUUGGCGUGGUAAAGGCCCACCAAGGCGACGAUCCGUAGCUGGUCUGAGAGGAUGAUCAGCCACACUGGAACUGAGACACGGUCCAGACUCCUACGGGAGGCAGCAGUGGGGAAUAUUGGACAAUGGGCGCAAGCCUGAUCCAGCCAUACCGCGUGGGUGAAGAAGGCCUUCGGGUUGUAAAGCCCUUUUGUUGGGAAAGAAAAGCAGCAGGUUAAUACCCCGCUGUUCUGACGGUACCCAAAGAAUAAGCACCGGCUAACUUCGUG
Molecule: ribosomal RNA, 492 nt
Filed under: uncultured bacterium
Lineage: Bacteria
Description: partial 16S ribosomal RNA
Rfam family: Bacterial small subunit ribosomal RNA
Source: RNAcentral